This 331-nucleotide unclassified non-coding RNA is filed under the name soil metagenome. RNAcentral's name for it is "partial contains 5.8S ribosomal RNA, internal transcribed spacer 2, and large subunit ribosomal RNA". The stretch from base 1 to 120 matches the Rfam family "5.8S ribosomal RNA", at positions 35 to 154 of the family's 154-position model. The record is from RNAcentral.
GAUGAAGAACGUAGCGAAAUGCGAUAAGUAAUGUGAAUUGCAGAUUUCAGUGAAUCAUCGAAUCUUUGAACGCACAUUGCGCCCGCCAGUAUUCUGGCGGGCAUGCCUGUUCGAGCGUCAUUUCAACCAUCAAGCGCCUCGCUUGUGUUGGGGCCCUGCGGCUGCCGCAGGCCCCUAAAUCCAGUGGCGGGCUCGUCGUCGUACCGAGUGCAGUAAACAUCCUCGCUCAGGGAACCCGACGGGUGCCGGCCGUGAAACCCCCCCUCCUCAAGGUUGACCUCGGAUCAGGUAGGAAUACCCGCUGAACUUAAGCAUAUCAAUAAGCGGAGGA